GACGAACGCUGGCGGCGUGCCUAAUACAUGCAAGUCGAGCGGAAGUUGAAGAGCUUGCUCUUCAACUUUAGCGGCGGACGGGUGAGUAACACGUGGGCAACCUGCCCUGCAGAUCGGGAUAACUCCGGGAAACCGGUGCUAAUACCGAAUAGUUUUCGCCACCUCCUGGUGGCGUACGGAAAGACGGUUUCGGCUGUCACUGCAGGAUGGGCCCGCGGCGCAUUAGCUAGUUGGUGGGGUAACGGCCCACCAAGGCAACGAUGCGUAGCCGACCUGAGAGGGUGAUCGGCCACACUGGGACUGAGACACGGCCCAGACUCCUACGGGAGGCAGCAGUAGGGAAUCUUCCGCAAUGGACGAAAGUCUGACGGAGCAACGCCGCGUGAGUGACGAAGGUUUUCGGAUCGUAAAACUCUGUUGUGAGGGAAGAACAAGUACCAACUAACUACUGGUACCUUGACGGUACCUCACCAGAAAGCCACGGCUAACUACGUGCCAGCCGCCGCUGUAA
Molecule: ribosomal RNA, 511 nt
Filed under: uncultured bacterium
Lineage: Bacteria
Description: partial 16S ribosomal RNA
Rfam family: Bacterial small subunit ribosomal RNA
Source: RNAcentral